RNAcentral lists this ribosomal RNA (395 nucleotides) under uncultured bacterium. RNAcentral's name for it is "bacterial SSU rRNA". It matches the Rfam family "Bacterial small subunit ribosomal RNA", at positions 28 to 426 of the family's 1533-position model. The record is from RNAcentral.
GACGAACGCUGGCGGCGUGCUUAACACAUGCAAGUCGAACGGUAAGGCCCUUCGGGGUACACGAGUGGCGAACGGGUGAGUAACACGUGGGUGAUCUGCCCUGCACUUCGGGAUAAGCCUGGGAAACUGGGUCUAAUACCGGAUAGGACCAUGGACUUCACGGUUUGUGGUGGAAAGCUUUUGCGGUGUGGGAUGGGCCCGCGGCCUAUCAGCUUGUUGGUGGGGUAAUGGCCUACCAAGGCGACGACGGGUAGCCGGCCUGAGAGGGUGUCCGGCCACACUGGGACUGAGAUACGGCCCAGACUCCUACGGGAGGCAGCAGUGGGGAAUAUUGCACAAAUGGGCGCAAGCCUGAUGCAGCGACGCCGCGUGAGGGAUGACGGCCUUCGGGUUGG